Molecule: ribosomal RNA, 252 nt
Filed under: uncultured Bacteroidales bacterium
Lineage: Bacteria; Pseudomonadati; Bacteroidota; Bacteroidia; Bacteroidales
Description: partial 16S ribosomal RNA
Rfam family: Bacterial small subunit ribosomal RNA
Source: RNAcentral
UACGGAGGAUUCAAGCGUUAUCCGGAUUUAUUGGGUUUAAAGGGUGCGUAGGCGGACGGUCAAGUCAGCGGUAAAAAUGCGGUGCUCAACGCCGUACAGCCGUUGAAACUGGGGGCCUUGAGUGGGCGAGAAGAAGGCGGAAUGCGUGGUGUAGCGGUGAAAUGCAUAGAUAUCACGCAGAACCCCGAUUGCGAAGGCAGCCUUCCGGCGCCCUACUGACGCUGAGGCACGAAAGUGCGGGGAUCGAACAGG